This 254-nucleotide ribosomal RNA is filed under the name uncultured bacterium. RNAcentral's name for it is "partial 16S ribosomal RNA". It matches the Rfam family "Bacterial small subunit ribosomal RNA", at positions 524 to 776 of the family's 1533-position model. The record is from RNAcentral.
UACGUAGGGUGCGAGCGUUGUCCGGAAUUAUUGGGCGUAAAGAGCUCGUAGGCGGUGUGUCGCGUCGGUCGUGAAAACUUGGGGCUUAACCCUGAGCUUGCGGUCGAUACGGGCAUCACUGGAGUUCGGCAGGGGAGACUGGAAUUCCUGGUGUAGCGGUGAAAUGCGCAGAUAUCGGGAGGAACACCGGUGGCGAAGGCGGUUCUCUGGGCCUUACCUGACGCUGAGGAGCGAAAGCGUGGGGAGCGAACAGG